AUUGAACGCUGGCGGCAGGCCUAACACAUGCAAGUCGAACGGUAACAGGAAGCAGCUUGCUGCUUUGCUGACGAGUGGCGGACGGGUGAGUAAUGUCUGGGAAACUGCCUGAUGGAGGGGGAUAACUACUGGAAACGGUAGCUAAUACCGCAUAACGUCGCAAGCCCAAAGAGGGGGACCUUCGGGCCUCUUGCCAUCGGAUGUGCCCAGAUGGGAUUCGCUAGUAGGUGGGGUAACGUCUCACCUAGGCGACGAUCCCUAGCUGGUCUGAGAGGAUGACCAGCCACACUGGAGCUGAGACACGGUCCAGACUCCUACGGGAGGCAGCAGUGGGGAAUAUUGCACAAUGGGCGCAAGCCUGAUGCAGCCAUGCCGCGUGUAUGAAGAAGGCCUUCGGGUUGUAAAGUACUUUCAGCGGGGAGGAAGGGAGUAAAGUUAAUACCUUUGCUCAUUGACGUUACCCGCAGAAGAAGCACCGGCUAACUCCGUG
This 490-nucleotide ribosomal RNA is filed under the name uncultured bacterium. RNAcentral's name for it is "partial 16S ribosomal RNA". It matches the Rfam family "Bacterial small subunit ribosomal RNA", at positions 30 to 507 of the family's 1533-position model. The record is from RNAcentral.